AACGAACGCUGGCGGCAUGCCUAACACAUGCAAGUCGAACGGGACCUUCGGGUCUAGUGGCGCACGGGUGCGUAACGCGUGGGAACCUGCCCUUAGGUUCGGAAUAACUCCCCGAAAGGGGUGCUAAUACCGGAUAAUGUCUUCGGACCAAAGAUUUAUCGCCUUUGGAUGGGCCCGCGUUGGAUUAGCUAGUUGGUAGGGUAAAAGCCUACCAAGGCGACGAUCCAUAGCUGGUCUGAGAGGAUGAUCAGCCACACUGGGACUGAGACACGGCCCAGACUCCUACGGGAGGCAGCAGGGGGGAAUAUUGGAAAAUGGGCGAAAGGCUGAUCCAGCAAUGCCGCGGGAGGGAUGAAGGCCUUAGGGUUGGAAAGCCCUUUUACCCGGGAUGAUAAUGACAGUACCGGGAGAAUAAGCUCCGGCUAACUCCGUG
RNAcentral lists this ribosomal RNA (433 nucleotides) under uncultured bacterium. Its description in RNAcentral is "partial 16S ribosomal RNA". It matches the Rfam family "Bacterial small subunit ribosomal RNA", at positions 29 to 507 of the family's 1533-position model. The record is from RNAcentral.